UACAGAGGGGGCAAGCGUUGUUCGGAAUUACUGGGCGUAAAGGGCGCGUAGGCGGCCUGUUAAGUCGAACGUGAAAUCCCCGGGCUCAACCCGGGAACUGCGUCCGAUACUGGCAGGCUUGAAUCCGGGAGAGGGAUGUGGAAUUCCUGGUGUAGCGGUGAAAUGCGUAGAUAUCUGGAGGAACACCGGUGGCGAAGGCGGCGUUCUGGACUGUCUCUGACACUGAAGAACGAAAGCCAGGGGAGCAAACGGG
RNAcentral lists this ribosomal RNA (253 nucleotides) under uncultured bacterium. RNAcentral describes it as "partial 16S ribosomal RNA". It matches the Rfam family "Bacterial small subunit ribosomal RNA", at positions 524 to 776 of the family's 1533-position model. The record is from RNAcentral.